This 663-nucleotide ribosomal RNA is filed under the name Sordariomycetes sp. RNAcentral describes it as "eukaryotic LSU rRNA". The stretch from base 278 to 663 matches the Rfam family "Eukaryotic large subunit ribosomal RNA", at positions 1 to 390 of the family's 3401-position model. The record is from RNAcentral. Lineage: Eukaryota; Fungi; Ascomycota; Sordariomycetes.
GCGAUAAGUAAUGUGAAUUGCAAAAUUCAGUGAAUCAUCGAAUCUUUGAACGCACAUUGCGCCCAUUAGUACUCUAGUGGGCAUGCCUGUUCGAGCGUCAUUACGACCCUUAAGCCUAGCUUAGUAUUGGGAACCUACGUGCGGCAGCUACCCUGUAGCUACCCUGUAGCUCCUUAAAGACAACGGCGGAGACGUGGAGUCCUCUGAGCUUAGUAACUUUUCUAGCUUCUGAAGGCGCCGCGGCCCCUGCCGUAAAACCCCCCAACUCUUUAGUGGUUGACCUCGGAUCAGGUAGGAAUACCCGCUGAACUUAAGCAUAUCAAUAAGCGGAGGAAAAGAAACCAACAGGGAUUGCCUUAGUAACGGCGAGUGAAGCGGCAACAGCUCAAAUUUGAAAGCUGGCCUUCGGGUCCGCGUUGUAAUUUGUAGAGGAUGCUUUUGGUUAGGUGCCUUACGAGUUCCCUGGAACGGGACGCCUUAGAGGGUGAGAGCCCCGUACGUUUGGUUACCGAGCCUCUGUAAAGCUCCUUCGACGAGUCGAGUAGUUUGGGAAUGCUGCUCUAAAUGGGAGGUAAAUUUCUUCUAAAGCUAAAUACCGGCCAGAGACCGAUAGCGCACAAGUAGAGUGAUCGAAAGAUGAAAAGCACUUUGAAAAGAGGGUUA